RNAcentral lists this ribosomal RNA (163 nucleotides) under uncultured Bacillus sp. RNAcentral's name for it is "partial 16S ribosomal RNA". It matches the Rfam family "Bacterial small subunit ribosomal RNA", at positions 377 to 532 of the family's 1533-position model. Lineage: Bacteria; Bacillati; Bacillota; Bacilli; Caryophanales; Bacillaceae. The record is from RNAcentral.
GAAAGUCUGACGGAGCAACGCCGCGUGAGUGAUGAAGGCUUUCGGGUCGUAAAACUCUGUUGUUAGGGAAGAACAAGUGCUAGUUGAAUAAGCUGGCACCUUGACGGUACCUAACCAGAAAGCCACGGCUAACUCCGUGCCAGCAGCCGCGGUAAUAGGAGAA